UGUGUAGUGUUUAAAUGAACGGGUCAAAAACGAAAAUUUUUACUACUCCCCCAUCCCCACACUUGAAGUAAACAUUGUCCUCAAUGUGUAGUGUUUAAAUGAACGGGUCAAAAACGAAAAUUUUUACUACUCCCCCAUCCCCACACUUGAAGUACAUAUUGUCCUCAAUGUGUGAAAACUAGAGUAUUAGAUGCACAAGGGAUGUGACACGGCUAAUUCCCCCAAAUUUUCACCCCGGAAAUAAAAUACAAAAAUACACUCCACUUAUUCCUAACUAAGACUCAAAGUAAAAAGAAGCACAUGCACCUGAUUUUUGUCGCUUGAUACUCAUAUCUCCUUUGUCUCUUCAUAAAAACGGUUGUCCCGCGAACAUAUUGUACCUACAAAUUCUAAC
This 394-nucleotide long non-coding RNA is filed under the name Helianthus annuus (common sunflower). RNAcentral describes it as "hypothetical non coding rna". Lineage: Eukaryota; Viridiplantae; Streptophyta; Magnoliopsida; Asterales; Asteraceae. The record is from RNAcentral.